RNAcentral lists this long non-coding RNA (631 nucleotides) under Ananas comosus (pineapple). Its description in RNAcentral is "long non-coding RNA (ACOM_LNC004237)". The record is from RNAcentral. Lineage: Eukaryota; Viridiplantae; Streptophyta; Magnoliopsida; Poales; Bromeliaceae.
UUCUUUUUAUUUCUUUUUUCUUUCUUGUUUUGUGUAUAUUGUACAACUACAACAGAAUUAGGUUAUAGGGACACAUAUUUUGGACACUUUUGAGUAAGUGUUCCACUUAUGCUAAAACUUAAAAACACAUCUACUAAUGUCUGAAUAUAAAGCCCAAUCCAACCAGAAAUAAAAGAUUACUCUACUCAACCCACCACACCCAGUCCAUUUGGCCUGAUUACAAACAGAAAAGAAAAAAAAGAAGAAAAAUCAAUUACCAUCUUUUCUUCUCUCUUCACUCAAUCCACUGAAAUUCUAGACAAAGAGCCUUUACUGUUGUCCUCCUCCACUAUCGCAGCCAACAAGAUAGAGUUUCGGCGGUUGCUAAAUGCUUAAAUAAGUGUUGGUAAAUUAGCAGCACUCUUUUAGGUUAUAGCGACACUUUUUAACUGUCACUAUAUACCUAGCGACCCCACAUAUAGCAACACUUUUUAAAAGUGUCGGUAAUUUUAGCUAGCAGCACUUUUUUGACAUGUACCUAUAUUUAAAAGUGUCGCUAUAGACCGUUUUUAUUGUAGUGGGUCUUCAAAGAAUCUUAUGAGAAAUUAGCCAUGAUAUAUCUUAUUCAUUCAUAAUAUUUAACAUCAAACAA